This 414-nucleotide ribosomal RNA is filed under the name Triticum aestivum (bread wheat). Its description in RNAcentral is "partial small subunit ribosomal RNA". The record is from RNAcentral. Lineage: Eukaryota; Viridiplantae; Streptophyta; Magnoliopsida; Poales; Poaceae.
AUGGAUACUAGGGAUCGAACCCAAACAAAAUUAACUCGAUUACAUGGUAAAUCUCAUCCAACCCAUCACCGUCCAGCAAGCCUACGAUGGGAUUACUCAUGCAAGGCGGUGAGUGUCGGUGUUCUGGGAACAGGGGUCCCCAGACUUGCCUACCUGCGGCCUGUGGCGUGGCUCAAGGGGCGGCCCAGCGUGGCCCAUCUUCAUCAGCACGAGCUCAAGACCCUUGCGAGGGGCCAAACCUCACGGGGCGGACGACAGGAAGCUUAUUCAGGCACGGCCUCAUCAGGCUGGCUCGCGAGGAGGUGGAGAGAUCAAGGCGGGGAACCUCACGAGGUGCCCAUGACGCAAGCCAUGACGACCAAGGGCACCAGGAGGGCGCCAGCCCGCGCAGUGUCCUUCUUUCCCCUUUGGUGA